CCUACGGGAUGCAGCAGUAGGGAAUCUUCGGCAAUGGACGAAAGUCUGACCGAGCAUCGCCGCGUGAGUGAAGAAGGUUUUCGGAUCGUAAAACUCUGUUGUUAGAGAAGAACAAGGACGUUAGUAACUGAACGUCCCCUGACGGUAUCUAACCAGAAAGCCACGGCUAACUACGUGCCAGCAGCCGCGGUAAUACGUAGGUGGCAAGCGUUGUCCGGAUUUAUUGAGCGUAAAGCGAGCGCAGGCGGUUUCUUAAGUCUGAUGUGAAAGCCCCCGGCUCAACCGGGGAGGGUCAUUGGCAACUGGGAGACUUGAGUACAGAAGAGGAGAGUGGAAUUCCAUGUGUAGCGGUGAAAUGCGUAGAUAUAUGGAGGAAAACCAGUGGCGAAGGCGGCUCUCUGGUCUGUAACUGACGCUGAGGCUCGAAAGCGUGGGGAGCAAACAGGAUUAGAUACCCGGGUAGUC
This 465-nucleotide ribosomal RNA is filed under the name uncultured bacterium. Its description in RNAcentral is "bacterial SSU rRNA". It matches the Rfam family "Bacterial small subunit ribosomal RNA", at positions 338 to 795 of the family's 1533-position model. The record is from RNAcentral.